AGCCUUAUGAUUUCUAUAUAAGGUGCGUCCUGCCCAGUGAAUUUUUAACGGCCGCAGUACCCUGACUGUGCAAAGGUAGCAUAAUAAUUUGCCUUUUAAUUGGAGGCUUGUAUGAAUGGAUAAACGAGAAUAAAGCUGUCUCUUAUAUACAAAUAAAAAUUGAAUUUUAGGUGAAGAUGCCUAAAUAUUUUUAAAGGACAAAAAGACCCUACUGAGCUUUAUUUUUAAUUAAUUAAAUAAAAAAUAUUAUUACUUUAUAUUAAUAUAAAUUAUGUUGGGGCGACAAAGGAACACAUAAAACUUCCUUUACUUUUAGAUUACAUAUCAUUCUUUGAUCCUAUUUAUAGCUUAAGGAACAAGCUACCAUAGGGAUAACAGGUUAAUCAUUUUAGAGAGUUCUUAUUAAUAAAAUGGAUUGACACCUCGAUGUUGGCUUAAGGUAUCCUAUUGGUGUAGAAGCUAAUAAGGGUUGGUUUGUUCAACCAUUAAAACCUU
This 495-nucleotide ribosomal RNA is filed under the name Glycinde multidens. Its description in RNAcentral is "partial 16S ribosomal RNA". It matches the Rfam family "Bacterial large subunit ribosomal RNA", at positions 1829 to 2597 of the family's 2925-position model. Lineage: Eukaryota; Metazoa; Annelida; Polychaeta; Phyllodocida; Goniadidae. The record is from RNAcentral.